CAGAAACCUGGAAGUGGAAAUCUCGGGCAUUCACCGUUUGGGUGAAGACGGAGGCGGGUUCUGGACAGACGUAGGCUGUCAGGGAGUGUUUACUUCGCCUCCACUUCUGUUCCUCCCUGCCCUGGUGCUGCUCCAGGUCACAUACUCGUCCUGAGCCGGCUUCAGCCUGUCCGCGCAGAAGUCUCCCGGAGCCAUGGCCUAGUACUCUUAUGUGAAGUCUAGCAAGCUCGUGCUCAAGGGAACCGAGUAAGAAGAAAAAGAGCAAAGAUAAGAAGAGAAAAAGAGAAGAUGAAGAAACCCAGCUUGAUACGUUGGAAUCUGGUGAACAGUAACAAACUUUGGUGAAAUUUCAGGAACCAUAGCCAUUGAAAUGGAUGAGGGAACCUAUAUACAUGCACUCGACAAUGGUCUUUUUACCCUGGGAGCUCCACACAAAGAAGAAUCGCCCUGAAAUCUGGCUAUGGAAAAUAUCUUGGUAUAAAUUCAGAUGAACUUGUUGGGCAUUCAGAUGCAAUUGGACCAAGAGAACAAUGGGAACCAGUCUUUCAAAAUGUUUAAAUCGCCUUGGACCACACCGCCAUGUUCCAGGGCUCACCAGGAGCCAUCCAGAUGAGAGACCACCCAGCCCUUGUGACUUGACUAAGAAAUUAAAUCCAUGUUAUCAGCACAUUUUUAACUGGAUGUGAUAUAAGG
RNAcentral lists this long non-coding RNA (693 nucleotides) under Homo sapiens (human). RNAcentral's name for it is "PREDICTED lncRNA (TCONS_00166991)". The record is from RNAcentral. Lineage: Eukaryota; Metazoa; Chordata; Mammalia; Primates; Hominidae.